CAGUAGCCACGGGAACACGUAGGGUGCGAGCGUUAAUCGGAAUUACUGGGCGUAAAGCGUGCGCAGGCGGUUAUAUAAGACAGAUGUGAAAUCCCCGGGCUCAACCUGGGACCUGCAUUUGUGACUGUAUAGCUAGAGUACGGUAGAGGGGGAUGGAAUUCCGCGUGUAGCAGUGAAAUGCGUAGAUAUGCGGAGGAACACCGAUGGCGAAGGCAAUCCCCUGGACCUGUACUGACGCUCAUGCACGAAAGCGUGGGGAGCAAACAGGAUUAGAUACCCCUGUAGUCCCUGUCUCUUAUAC
This 301-nucleotide ribosomal RNA is filed under the name uncultured bacterium. RNAcentral's name for it is "partial 16S ribosomal RNA". It matches the Rfam family "Bacterial small subunit ribosomal RNA", at positions 509 to 807 of the family's 1533-position model. The record is from RNAcentral.